CUCAGUUCGGAUCGGAGUCCGNAACCCGACUCCGUGAAGCUGGAUUCGCUAGUAAUCGCGCAUCAGCCAUGGCGCGGUGAAUACGUUCCCGGGCCCUUGUACACACCGCCCGUCAAGCCAUGGAAGCCGGGGGGGCCUGAAGUGUGCAGCCGCAAGGAGCGCCCUAAGGUAAAACCGGUGACUGGGGCUAAGUCGUAACAAGGUACC
RNAcentral lists this ribosomal RNA (207 nucleotides) under uncultured bacterium. Its description in RNAcentral is "partial 16S ribosomal RNA". It matches the Rfam family "Bacterial small subunit ribosomal RNA", at positions 1287 to 1500 of the family's 1533-position model. The record is from RNAcentral.